GACGAACGCUGGCGGCGUGCCUAAUACAUGCAAGUAGAACGCUGAAGGAGGAGCUUGCUCUUCUGGAUGAGUUGCGAACGGGUGAGUAACGCGUAGGUAACCUGCCUGGUAGCGGGGGAUAACUAUUGGAAACGAUAGCUAAUACCGCAUAACAUUGACUAUUGCAUGAUAGUCAAUUAAAAGGUGCAAAUGCACCACUACCAGAUGGACCUGCGUUGUAUUAGCUAGUUGGUGGGGUAACGGCUCACCAAGGCGACGAUACAUAGCCGACCUGAGAGGGGGAUCGGCCACACUGGGACUGAGACACGGCCCAGACUCCUACGGGAGGCAGCAGUAGGGAAUCUUCGGCAAUGGACGGAAGUCUGACCGAGCAACGCCGCGUGAGUGAAGAAGGUUUUCGGAUCGUAAAGCUCUGUUGUAAGAGAAGAACGAGUGUGAGAGUGGAAAGUUCACACUGUGACGGUAUCUUACCAGAAAGGGACGGCUAACUACGUG
Molecule: ribosomal RNA, 495 nt
Filed under: uncultured bacterium
Lineage: Bacteria
Description: partial 16S ribosomal RNA
Rfam family: Bacterial small subunit ribosomal RNA
Source: RNAcentral